UACGUAGGGUGCAAGCGUUGUUCGGAAUUACUGGGCGUAAAGGGCUCGUAGGUGGCCAACUAAGUCGGACGUGAAAUCCCUCAGCUUAACUGGGGAACUGCGUCCGAUACUGGAUGGCUUGAGUUUGGGAGAGGGAUGCGGAAUUCCAGGUGUAGCGGUGAAAUGCGUAGAGAUCCGGAGGAACCCCAGAGGCGAAGGCGGCAUUCUGGCUCGCAACUGACGCUCAGACACGACAGCAUGGGGAGCGAACGGG
Molecule: ribosomal RNA, 253 nt
Filed under: uncultured bacterium
Lineage: Bacteria
Description: partial 16S ribosomal RNA
Rfam family: Bacterial small subunit ribosomal RNA
Source: RNAcentral